UAGAAGAAGGAGAAAUAGAAGGAUCAAGAGAAACAGAAGUAGAAGGAUGUAUGAUAGAGAGUAUUUGGAGUGAUUUUCUCUCCCCUCCUUCUUUCUCUUCUUCUCCUUCUCUCUCUCCU
RNAcentral lists this non-coding RNA (119 nucleotides) under Paramoeba aestuarina. Lineage: Eukaryota; Discosea; Flabellinia; Dactylopodida; Paramoebidae. The record is from RNAcentral.